GACUGCAGGCUGCAACUCGCCUGCACGAAGUCGGAAUUGCUAGUAAUCGUAGGUCAGCAUACUACGGUGAAUACGUUCCCGGGCCUUGUACACACCGCCCCGUCAAACCAUGAGAGUUGGCAACACCCGAAGUCGGUAGUCUAACCGCAAGGAGGACGCCGCCGAAGGUGGGGUUGAUGAUUAGGGUUAAGUCGUAACAAGGUAUC
RNAcentral lists this ribosomal RNA (206 nucleotides) under uncultured bacterium. RNAcentral's name for it is "partial 16S ribosomal RNA". It matches the Rfam family "Bacterial small subunit ribosomal RNA", at positions 1296 to 1500 of the family's 1533-position model. The record is from RNAcentral.